RNAcentral lists this ribosomal RNA (448 nucleotides) under uncultured bacterium. Its description in RNAcentral is "bacterial SSU rRNA". It matches the Rfam family "Bacterial small subunit ribosomal RNA", at positions 329 to 794 of the family's 1533-position model. The record is from RNAcentral.
UUCCAGACUCCUACGGGAGGCAGCAGUGGGGGAUAUUGCACAAUGGGGGGAACCCUGAUGCAGCGACGCCGCGUGGGUGAAGAAGCGCCUCGGCGCGUAAAGCCCUGUCAGCAGGGAAGAAAAUGACGGUACCUGAAGAAGAAGCCCCGGCUAACUACGUGCCAGCAGCCGCGGUAAUACGUAGGGGGCGAGCGUUAUCCGGAUUUACUGGGUGUAAAGGGGGCGCAGACGGCAGCGCAAGCCAGGAGUGAAAGCCCGGGGCCCAACCCCGGGACUGCUCUUGGAACUGCGCGGCUGGAGUGCAGGAGGGGCAGGCGGAAUUCCUGGUGUAGCGGUGAAAUGCGUAGAUACCAGGAGGAACACCAGUGGCGAAGGCGGCUUGCUGGACGAUGACUGACGUUGAGGCUCGAAAGCGUGGGGAGCAAACAGGAUUAGAUACCCGGGUACA